AAAGUUUCACGAUGUGAUUCAUAUUUGUGGUUUUCAAUGGGGUCUUUGGUGAUAGCGGCCCACUACUGAUCCCGAUGGGAUGCGGGACUUCGCUCCUGCGGUAUGAACUUUUAGUUUUUGUGGCCUAGGAUCUAUUUGUACACACAUACUAUACAAGUGCAAUUAAUGGGUCAGUUUUGGAUAUUCAGAAAUUACUUCAUUUUCUACCUUGUACUGCUCUCCUUUCAUAGUGAAAUUCUUCUGCCUCUGCCCGUAAUUUUUUUCCGCAAGAAUUUUUAC
This 279-nucleotide long non-coding RNA is filed under the name Capsicum annuum. RNAcentral describes it as "long non-coding RNA (CANN_LNC000130)". The record is from RNAcentral. Lineage: Eukaryota; Viridiplantae; Streptophyta; Magnoliopsida; Solanales; Solanaceae.